AUUAGACAACAGCUUUGAUUUCAGGAAGAUGAUAAUCUCUAGGAGGAGCUAAGAAUGUUUGAAUAUCAAAGUGUCACAUGUCAUAUACAGUAAGCAAAGCAUUCUGAAGGAAAAAUAGGAAUUCCGCAACAUGAAGGGCUGGACAGUUGGCCAUCACCCGGAAGCAUGGUUCAAAGCAUUCUGAAGGCCUUCUGAUGACCUUGGCAGAUGAUGCAGUGACCCUGCUCACAUACCUUCUGCAUACCUCAUCCCUGAUCCUUGGAGACCACAUCUUAUUACACUGUAGCCCUCCAUCUGAGAGCUCUCUAGAUCUGCAAAUAGGUAGGCCAGAAGUGCUCAGGGACUCUUGUCUAGUGGAUGACACACAAGAGUUGGAGAAUAUUUACUGUGCCUCAAGUGGAACAACUCGGAAAAGUUCUGCACUAGCUCCUGAGCUCUCCAGCAAGUGAGCGCCAGCUGCCCAUAGCAGGUAGCUCCUUGAUGACAUCUCCUUUACUGGAUCAUUCUCUUCCUUUUCUCACUUCUGCCAUCCCUUAUCCAUGCUUCCUGGGAUCUCCUUCUCCCAAAGAAAUGACUCAUACUCAAAUCCUUGCUUCCAGACCUGCUUCUUUGGGAACCUAACCUAAGACAGUGACUUAUGAAAAUGCACCCAAUAAAUAAAUGGAAAAGAAAGCUAAA
Molecule: long non-coding RNA, 678 nt
Organism: Hyaena hyaena (striped hyena)
Lineage: Eukaryota; Metazoa; Chordata; Mammalia; Carnivora; Hyaenidae
Exons: 3
Source: RefSeq, a predicted model, not a curated record